AUGCUAGUGAUGGUGCGGCGAGCCGGAGCUGAUGGUGGGAGAGUUCUUGUUACAACCAUGGCUGCGGUGCACUGGAACCGGUCAACAGCUGAAGCUUCCACACAACGAGGCGUCCAUGAGAAGAGGGACAGCAAGCUGGCAGCGGCGCUAGUGCUGCAGGGGCCGACGACGCUGACGACCGCCAGAUCUAGCGAAGGAGCAGCCCGACAGAGGAGGCAUGGUGCGGGGCGGCGAGGUGCGGAGUCGCGGUGGCAAUUUGGACUGGUGGGGCGGGGGUACUGCAACCGUGAACCUAACUUGCUGGAACCGGCGAGAAAAUUUGCUAGAACCAGCAACCAAAAAUACUACUACUGGAGUUCAUCCUCAGGGCGUUGCUACGACCACAUCCUGUUUUUGCUACCACCGGCAUUUUCUUUUGCUACAUGCAUGCACGGCGGUGUUGGUUGA
Molecule: ribosomal RNA, 447 nt
Filed under: Triticum aestivum (bread wheat)
Lineage: Eukaryota; Viridiplantae; Streptophyta; Magnoliopsida; Poales; Poaceae
Description: partial small subunit ribosomal RNA
Source: RNAcentral